CAGUCGCCGCGGUAAUACGUAGGGUGCGAGCGUUAAUCGGAAUUACUGGGCGUAAAGCGUGCGCAGGCGGUUCGUUAAGACAGAUGUGAAAUCCCCGGGCUUAACCUGGGAACUGCAUUUGUGACUGGCGAGCUAGAGUAUGGCAGAGGGGGGUAGAAUUCCACGUGUAGCAGUGAAAUGCGUAGAGAUGUGGAGGAAUACCGAUGGCGAAGGCAGCCCCCUGGGCCAAUACUGACGCUAAUGCACGAAAGCGUGGGGAGCAAACAGGAUUAGAUACCCCUGUAGUCCCUGUCUCUUAUAC
Molecule: ribosomal RNA, 301 nt
Filed under: uncultured bacterium
Lineage: Bacteria
Description: partial 16S ribosomal RNA
Rfam family: Bacterial small subunit ribosomal RNA
Source: RNAcentral